Molecule: ribosomal RNA, 486 nt
Filed under: uncultured bacterium
Lineage: Bacteria
Description: bacterial SSU rRNA
Rfam family: Bacterial small subunit ribosomal RNA
Source: RNAcentral
CUACGUGCCAGCAGCCGCGGUAAUACGUAGGUCCCGAGCGUUGUCCGGAUUUAUUGGGCGUAAAGCGAGCGCAGGCGGUUUGAUAAGUCUGAAGUUAAAGGCUGUGGCUCAACCAUAGUUCGCUUUGGAAACUGUCAAACUUGAGUGCAGAAGGGGAGAGUGGAAUUCCAUGUGUAGCGGUGAAAUGCGUAGAUAUAUGGAGGAACACCGGUGGCGAAAGCGGCUCUCUGGUCUGUAACUGACGCUGAGGCUCGAAAGCGUGGGGAGCGAACAGGAUUAGAUACCCUGGUAGUCCACGCCCUAAACGAUGUCAAUUAGCUGUUGGGCAACUUGAUUGCUUAGUAGCGUAGCUAACGCGUGAAAUUGACCGCCUGGGGAGUACGGUCGCAAGAUUAAAACUCAAAGGAAUUGACGGGGACCCGCACAAGCGGUGGAUGAUGUGGAUUAAUUCGAUGCAACGCGAAGAACCUUACCUGGUCUUGACAU